GCCCGGGUGCCGGAACUAGCAGACGGUCUGGACUUAAAAUCCAGUGGGGUUUAAACUCCGUGAGGGUGCAAGUCCCUCCCCGGGCA
Molecule: transfer RNA, 86 nt
Filed under: Parcubacteria bacterium DG_74_2
Lineage: Bacteria; Candidatus Parcubacteria
Also listed under: 1 other name
Description: tRNA-Leu
Rfam family: tRNA
About the family: Transfer RNA (tRNA) molecules are approximately 80 nucleotides in length. Their secondary structure includes four short double-helical elements and three loops (D, anti-codon, and T loops). Further hydrogen bonds mediate the characteristic L-shaped molecular structure. tRNAs have two regions of fundamental functional importance: the anti-codon, which is responsible for specific mRNA codon recognition, and the 3' end, to which the tRNAs corresponding amino acid is attached (by aminoacyl-tRNA synthetases). tRNAs cope with the degeneracy of the genetic code in two manners: having more than one tRNA (with a specific anti-codon) for a particular amino acid; and 'wobble' base-pairing, i.e. permitting non-standard base-pairing at the 3rd anti-codon position.
Source: RNAcentral